UACGAAGGGGGGCUAGCGUUGCUCGGAAUGACUGGGCGUAAAGGGCGCGUAGGCGGAUGGCACAGUCAGAUGUGAAAUUCCCGGGCUUAACCUGGGGGCUGCAUUUGAUACGUGUUGUCUUGAGUUCGGAAGAGGGUCGUGGAAUUCCCAGUGUAGAGGUGAAAUUCGUAGAUAUUGGGAAGAACACCGGUGGCGAAGGCGGCGACCUGGUCCGACACUGACGCUGAGGUGCGAAAGCGUGGGGAGCAAACAGG
RNAcentral lists this ribosomal RNA (254 nucleotides) under uncultured bacterium. RNAcentral describes it as "partial 16S ribosomal RNA". It matches the Rfam family "Bacterial small subunit ribosomal RNA", at positions 524 to 776 of the family's 1533-position model. The record is from RNAcentral.